This 492-nucleotide ribosomal RNA is filed under the name uncultured bacterium. Its description in RNAcentral is "partial 16S ribosomal RNA". It matches the Rfam family "Bacterial small subunit ribosomal RNA", at positions 29 to 507 of the family's 1533-position model. The record is from RNAcentral.
AGUGAACGCUGGCGGUAGGCCUAACACAUGCAAGUCGAACGGCAGCACAGUAAGAGCUUGCUCUUACGGGUGGCGAGUGGCGGACGGGUGAGGAAUACAUCGGAAUCUACUUUUUCGUGGGGGAUAACGUAGGGAAACUUACGCUAAUACCGCAUACGACCUACGGGUGAAAGCAGGGGAUCUUCGGACCUUGCGCGAUUGAAUGAGCCGAUGUCGGAUUAGCUAGUUGGCGGGGUAAAGGCCCACCAAGGCGACGAUCCGUAGCUGGUCUGAGAGGAUGAUAAGCCACACUGGAACUGAGACACGGUCCAGACUCCUACGGGAGGCAGCAGUGGGGAAUAUUGGACAAAGGGCGCAAGCCUGAUCCAGCCAUACCGCGUGGGUGAAGAAGGCCUUCGGGUUGUAAAGACCUUUUGUUGGGAAAGAAAAGCAGCAGGUUAAUACCCCGCUGUUCUGACGGUACCCAAAGAAUAAGCACCGGCUAACUUCGUG